CCUACGGGAGGCAGCAGUGAGGAAUAUUGGUCAAUGGACGAGAGUCUGAACCAGCCAAGUAGCGUGAAGGAUGACUGCCCUAUGGGUUGUAAACUUCUUUUAUAUGGGAAUAAACUGUUCCACGUGUGGGCUUUUGUAUGUACCAUAUGAAUAAGGAUCGGCUAACUCCGUGCCAGCAGCCGCGGUAAUACGGAGGAUCCGAGCGUUAUCCGGAUUUAUUGGGUUUAAAGGGAGCGUAGGUGGAUUGUUAAGUCAGUUGUGAAAGUUUGCGGCUCAACCGUAAAAUUGCAGUUGAAACUGGCAGUCUUGAGUACAGUAGAGGUGGGCGGAAUGCGUGGUGUAGCGGUGAAAUGCUUAGAUAUCACGAAGAACUCCGAUUGCGAAGGCAGCUCACUGGACUGCAACUGACACUGAGGCUCGAAAGUGUGGGUAUCAAACAGGAUUAGAUACCCUUGUAGUC
RNAcentral lists this ribosomal RNA (460 nucleotides) under uncultured bacterium. RNAcentral describes it as "partial 16S ribosomal RNA". It matches the Rfam family "Bacterial small subunit ribosomal RNA", at positions 338 to 795 of the family's 1533-position model. The record is from RNAcentral.